UACGGGGGGGGCAAGCGUUGUUCGGAAUUACUGGGCGUAAAGGGCUCGUAGGCGGCCAACUAAGUCAGACGUGAAAUCCCUCGGCUUAACCGGGGAACUGCGUCUGAUACUGGAUGGCUUGAAUCCGGGAGAGGGAUGCGGAAUUCCAGGUGUAGCGGUGAAAUGCGUAGAUAUCUGGAGGAACACCGGUGGCGAAGGCGGCAUCCUGGACCGGCAUUGACGCUGAGGAGCGAAGGCCAGGGGAGCAAACGGG
RNAcentral lists this ribosomal RNA (253 nucleotides) under uncultured bacterium. RNAcentral describes it as "partial 16S ribosomal RNA". It matches the Rfam family "Bacterial small subunit ribosomal RNA", at positions 524 to 776 of the family's 1533-position model. The record is from RNAcentral.